CCUUACAUUGAUGCUUACCAGCUGUCAAAUCAAAGGUAGUAUAUCCUACUAUGUUUGAUGUUUAAUUAUAAGGUGACAGUGUAUGUUUUACCUUUGUGUUUCAACAAGGUGUCCACACUAGAGAAGCGAUGAAAAAUUACAAAGCACUAGACUCCUACAAGCUGCUGGAAUCUGGUUGGGUGCAGACAGUGAGGCAUAUCAUUCCUAAUGACACAACCCUCACGGUCCUGAGAGCUGACGUGACACCGUCAUUCCGGGUGAAUGAACCGCCGCAUCAUCCAUGGGCAGCCGUUACCCAGCGUGGCGAUGUGGUUGCUGCUCACUGUGACUGCAAAGCUGGCAGUGAUGGGACCCACCUGUGGCGCUAAUUCCAGGAUAUAAGAAGGCUGCAGAACAGGCUCUCGCUCUCUCUCAGCUGCCCUGCUCGGUGCAGCAGGACACCGCUCCUCUGUUCUGUUUUAUUGUUGUUGGAACCACUGUGUUGGAUAAAUAAAUGAUUGUUUUGGGCAA
Molecule: long non-coding RNA, 510 nt
Organism: Gymnodraco acuticeps
Lineage: Eukaryota; Metazoa; Chordata; Actinopteri; Perciformes; Bathydraconidae
Exons: 2
Source: RefSeq, a predicted model, not a curated record